Molecule: ribosomal RNA, 467 nt
Filed under: uncultured bacterium
Lineage: Bacteria
Description: SSU rRNA
Rfam family: Bacterial small subunit ribosomal RNA
Source: RNAcentral
AGCCUGAACGCUGGCGGCGUGGCUAAGACAUGCAAGUCGAACGGGUGUAGCAAUACACCAGUGGCGGACGGGUGAGUAAUGAAUCGCUAACGUACCCUUAGGCCUGGGAUAGCCAGUUGAAAGAUUGGGUAAUACCAGAUGAAACAACUUCUUCGCAUGGAGAGGUUUUCAAAGCCGCAAGGCACCUUUGGAGCGGGCGAUUUUGUAUCAGCUAGUUGGUGAUGUAAUGGCUCACCAAGGCGACGACGCAUAGCCGGACUGAGAGGUUGGCCGGCCAUAUUGGGACUGAGACACUGCCCAGACUCCUACGGGGGGCUGCAGUAACGAAUCUUCCGCAAUGCACGAAAGUGUGACGGAGCGACGCCGCGUGUGGGACGAAGUUCUUCGGAAUGUAAACCACUGUCAGGGGUAAGAAAGUUCUGAUCUACCCCAGAGGAAGGCACGGCUAACUCUGCGCCAGCAGCCGC